UUCCAGAAGGUGAUUAAUGGUUGACCUCUGGGGGCUGGGAACUCUCCCGGGGAGUAUUCUUUCUAGUCUGGUGCAAAGCUUGGACCAUCUACUUCUCUGCUCUCUGGUGGAGGUGAAUAUUGUAGUUGAGGAUGCAGAGAUAAAGCACCCCAUCCCCUGACCUCCUAAAUCCUGAAGUCAACCCAGGAAGCACCCUGUGAAAACCAUGCUCCAGCCUUGAGCAGAGGCAGGCUAAUCCAAGAAACUCAAGGGCAGACAAAAGAAAACAAGGGAAGCCAAGGGAAUGAGUGAAAGACUAUAUAAGUUGGUUCAUUCUUGCUGGAUAAAUGGCACCCACUCACCAAAGGGAGAAGGUACAAAAAAGAAUUCAGCGAGGCAAGAAGCAGGUAGUUAGAACCAGGAAAUCGUAUCUCCGAUGGCACACCCUAACACCAUCAGAACGUCCCACAGCUGCACCAAGACCCAAAAUACUCCAUGAAGAAAUGUCAUUGUGGAUGAG
This 499-nucleotide long non-coding RNA is filed under the name Homo sapiens (human). RNAcentral's name for it is "HSALNT0181254". Lineage: Eukaryota; Metazoa; Chordata; Mammalia; Primates; Hominidae. The record is from RNAcentral.